UUGUUCUUUCCUGGAUCUGUGAGAGGUGUCAUCCUCUGCCAGGAGGCAGGUGAUGUUUUUGACAUCUCCUUCUCCAGGAAAUAGAUGAAGUGGGAACUGUGAGGUGUAUCCAGAAAGAGUAAGAUGAAGGGUCCCUGAGCCUUGCAGUCAUCAAGGACCCAAAGCUUGUCCCACUUCUCCGGACACUCCAAGCAGAGGGAGAGAUUCCCAGGCGAGCAGCCAGGCAUCUCUCUUGCUCAAACCCAUCUCACACUCCAACUUCUAUCACUGCAUCUCUCCACCAAUUGGCCCCAUGGGUGUAGUCAUGGCAGAAGAGCCAAGCACUUACCCACCACCUCUGCACUAAGGGAAAGACGUGCCUUUGCCUGUGCCAACCUAACCAGAACUCCCCCAGAAGGACGCUAUGAAGCCAACAACCAGCAGGCUGUUGUUGGAGGCUAGAUCACUGUCGUUCACUGUAUUGGAAGCCGACAAUGAAGCACGGGGUAGAACGCAGCUGCUCACCUUCUGCAUGAGCCAGGUCUGGAGCAGAGAGAGAGAGAUUUAGCAGGUUGUCCCUGGCUAAGAGGCUCAUGUUGUCAGAAGGAAGCCAAGAUCAAGUACAGAGAAGGAGAAAAUGGUGACCAGUGACUCCAACCCACCAACAUGUAAGAGGAGCCAAAAGAGGACUGAGAAUCUCUGAUUACAGGCAGGUCACUCUCCUGGGAACCAAUCUUCCUCCAGGGAAGAUGCAUACCCUGUUUAACUGUUAGACCUGGAAAGUUUGAUAGUCAUAAUAAUAUGAAAACAAUCCUGUUCUUCAGGGUAAAUGAA
Molecule: long non-coding RNA, 813 nt
Organism: Mauremys mutica (yellowpond turtle)
Lineage: Eukaryota; Metazoa; Chordata; Testudines; Geoemydidae
Exons: 3
Source: RefSeq, a predicted model, not a curated record